UCUUCCGUAGUAUAGUGGUCAGUAUGCGAGCUUGUCACGCUUGAGACAGACCCGGGUUCAAUUCCCGGCGGGAGAG
This 76-nucleotide transfer RNA is filed under the name Moelleriella libera RCEF 2490. RNAcentral describes it as "Aschersonia aleyrodis RCEF 2490 tRNA". It matches the Rfam family "tRNA". From Rfam's summary of the family: Transfer RNA (tRNA) molecules are approximately 80 nucleotides in length. The record is from Rfam by way of RNAcentral. Lineage: Eukaryota; Fungi; Ascomycota; Sordariomycetes; Hypocreales; Clavicipitaceae.